UUCGCCCUUAGAGUUUGAUUCUGGGCUCAGGACGAACGUUGGCGGCGUGCAUAACACAUGCAAGUUGAACGGGGGUUAGCCUUUUGGGACUAACUUAGUGGCGAACGGGUGAGUAACGCGUGAAGAACCUGCCUUUCAGUGGGGGACAACAGUUGGAAACGACUGCUAAUACCGCAUGACACUUCUUGGGGGCAUCCUUGAGAAGUCAAAGCUUUAUGUGCUGAAAGAUGGCUUCGCGUCUGAUUAGCUAGUUGGCGGGGUAACGGCCCACCAAGGCGACGAUCAGUAGCCGGUCUGAGAGGAUGAACGGCCACAUUGGGACUGAGAUACGGCCCAGACUCCUACGGGAGGCAGCAGUGGGGAAUAUUGGGCAAUGGGGGAAACCCUGACCCAGCAACGCCGCGUGAAGGAAGAAGGCCCUCGGGUUGUAAACUUCUUUUACCAGGGACGAAGGACGUGACGGUACCUGGAGAAAAAGCAACGGCUAACUACGUGCCAGCAGCCGCGGUAAUACGUAGGUUGCAAGCGUUGUCCGGAUUUACUGGGUGUAAAGGGCGUGUAGGCGGAGGAGCAAGUCAGAUGUGAAAUCCAUGGGCUUAACCCAUGAACUGCAUUUGAAACUGUUCCCCUUGAGUAUCGGAGAGGCAAGCGGAAUUCCUAGUGUAGCGGUGAAAUGCGUAGAUAUUAGGAGGAACACCAGUGGCGAAGGCGGCUUGCUGGACGACAACUGACGCUGAGGCGCGAAAGCGUGGGGAGCAAACAGGAUUAGAUACCCUGGUAGUCCACGCUGUAAACGAUGGAUACUAGGUGUAGGAGAUGAUUUCAUCAUCUGUGCCG
RNAcentral lists this ribosomal RNA (837 nucleotides) under uncultured bacterium. RNAcentral describes it as "bacterial SSU rRNA". It matches the Rfam family "Bacterial small subunit ribosomal RNA", at positions 1 to 848 of the family's 1533-position model. The record is from RNAcentral.